Long non-coding RNA from Helianthus annuus (common sunflower), 530 nucleotides. RefSeq lists it as uncharacterized. The transcript has 3 exons. The record is from RefSeq and is a predicted model, not a curated record. NCBI's taxonomy places the organism in Eukaryota, Viridiplantae, Streptophyta, Magnoliopsida, Asterales, Asteraceae.
UUUUCAGUUUGAAGAAUUGUUUGGAGUACUUCCUGACUUGACUAUGUUUUCAAUGGGAUCUGCAAAGAACAAAGCUAAAGGCUUUGACUUGGAGUUUGGUGCGUUGGUUGGAUGUCCUGACAAAUCUAUGAAGCAUGAGAUCAACAAGCCUCGUAAUUUCAGAAGAAUUCAUCAAAGGGUAAAGGCGCUGAAGAAUUGGAAGUGGGAUGAGGUGAUUGAAAUCGACAGUUUUGGUGAAGAUUCGUAAGAUGAUGAUAUGCUAAUUAAAAAGGUUAAUCGAUGCUUUUACUUCACUCCACGGUGGGCUACCAUAUGAACGUGAUGUGGCACUUUUGUUUUUUCUUUCGUUGUUGUUUUUCCUUUGGAAACGUUAGCUUGGGUGUUUAGGUUGUUUAGUUAUGUUGUUUUUAUGUAUGAUGAUGAUUAGAUGGUGAAAUGGUUUGUAAUCAUUUCGUAUUUAUUUGUCGUUGUAGUUUUAUUUUAAUGGAUUCUUAUGUUUGUUAUCAAAAGUUAGUUACAAUUUUGAAUUU